CUAGACCCAGACUAGAAGGAGACUAUUCUGUAAAAGGAAGCUUACUGGAAUUCCUCUGAGGGGUGGGACUCCCAUGGUCUCCAGUAUUGCCAGCGGAGGAUCAUCAGGAUAGUCUCUUCCUCUGGUGUAACAAUGUCCUGGAAUAAAGAAGAUCCUGAUAGGAGUGAUGAAUGUGGCCAGAUCAGAUCAAAGGUCUCAGACCACGCUGGAGUAUGAGGAAGGUCCACCUGCGGAAACUGUCAGUACCAGAGCUUCCCCACUCACACUGGAAGUCAGAGCCACAUGGGACAGUGUUGAUACAGGUACAACAUCGGAUCUAGACCUGGAUAAGAGCACCGCAAGCUAUUUAUCUUGAGUCUUUGCCAUCAGAGCUGUCAGAUCCCUACCCUUGCACACCACCAUCUCCUGCAGAGAUUUGCUUUGGUCUUAAUCCUUAGUGUCUGUUGGAAUUAAUAAUUUCAAAUAUUGUUAAUAUUCUGGGAACUCAAAACACCAAUGUAACCAUGAAUUUCUUUAUUAAAUCUGAAAGCAAAAAUGGUACUUUAUGCAGUUGCUCUAAACAUGUCUAACAUCCUAAAAAUAAGCAGUUAUACAUCCAAUACAGUAUUAAUAUUUAUAAGCAUGUGAUCAGUAUACUUACAAAUAGGCCAAAUCUAGGGAUGACCAUCUCAUUCUGGCAUGCUCCAGCAUGAUCAGGUAGGGUCUGACAAAACCUUCAGAUUCAUGGCUCUCUUUAUACCCUUCAGCUAACUAGCUUUAGCAAAAACCUAGUUUGAAGCAGUUUAUCUGUGCUUCUUUCCAUUCUCCAAGGCCUUCUCUUAUCUUCUUUCUGCCCCCUCCCAGCCGUGCUUAGCAGAACAGUGGGAAGGUUUGGGUUUGUUUCUUGAGACAAUUUUUGUCAUAUUACUGUAGCUUUUAUUUUAUAAUUAUUUUUGAAACCGUAUAUCCUUCCCACAUUAAAGUAACACUACUUACUAGUCUCACGGCUUUCAUUUAUUUGCUGAUUGGGGCCUUCUUUCUACGGGCCAUGAACCAUAAAGUGAAAGGUUUUUUCCCUUAACCAAAUUUAAGAUGCUCUAAUUUUUAUCAUCAUCCUACAGCACCUGUGCACGCAGUCUCUCACGACUUUGCCUGAGUCAGGGAGGAAUCCUAUCUCUUCAUGACAGUUUUUGACAAAGAUGACUUUUCCUUGUAUCUAUGAAAGUGCCCCUUACUCUCAUGUGAAGCCUCUCCUUAGUCUUACCAGUUUUAGCUUCCAUUCCUGAAGUCAUGCUUGGAGAGAUGCAGCCUGCUUCCUGAGACUGAUGUAUAGGUCAGGGGAGGAGGUUCCCAAGCCAAACCUGAUUGUGGUCUCGCUACCUUCUCCACCAGAUAUUUUCUAAAUUUUAGUUACUGACCCUCAAGUUCUCGGCAGAAAAGAAUGGCAGAUGCUGCAGUUGAAAGAGAUAUGAACCUCACCAGGCAACAGAGGCAGCGUUGAUGGUUGUUGCUCGCAGAAAACAGUUUUGGAACACCAGGACCCUGGGCAUAAUCCCAGACUUCUGAAGCGGAAAAAUUCUCCAGGGAAGGGAGAAACUAACUACACUGUGCUAGAAUAGACUAUAAAAAUGAAGGUAUAUACCAAGGGUUGGCAACCUUCAGCACACAGCCCAUCAGGGUAAUCCGCUGGCGGGCUGCGAGACGUUUUGUUUAUGUAGAUCGUCUGCAGGCAUGGCCCCCUGCCGCUCCCAGUGGCUGCGGUUCACCGUUCCCAGCCAAUAUAUUUAGAGCAAUGAUAUAGUAGAAAGAAUCUUUCUUGUCCUGAGAUCCUGACUCAGAUUAUGCCACGGUAAGAAGGAACUGGAGAGGCCUUAGCCCACACUACUCUUUGUGCCCUUGUUUCAGAGCAUAAGGAAAGAUAUGGCACAUAUAUGGGCCAACAGAUACUACUUGUAAAAUCCUGGGCUCAGGCACAUGCAUAUCCAUUGGUGGAGUACACAAGGACCACCACUCAAAGAAGAAUCUAGUCGUAGCACUACCUAUAUAUUAGACCCACCAACGCUUGAAUAUUUUAAGUCUUUUUUUUUUUAAAGUUCUUAUAAACAAUUGUGUUGUUUGAGUGAGUCACAUAACAUCGUUUCUUUGAACUGACAAGCAUGAACCCGUUUGAGGGUGAAGAGACUUUUUACAGGUGCUUCUGUGCCUUUUCCACCUAUAUCAUCCUGAGCAAUAGCUUGAGCAAAAACUGGUAUUUAAGCAAUUGCAUUUCUAAAGGUUUUUUGAAGUGGGGUUUAAGAUUGUUGGACAAUGCCAAGAAAGUGUCCCUACUGCCCCCAAUAGCCUCAAAAAAGCAUGAAUGAUAAACACCUUAACCAUUCCUGCACAAGACACGUCUUUGAUUAAUCAGGAGGAAAGUGAUCUAGCUUCACCAUGAAGGUAGACAAAGUUUUAAAAAGGUUCCUUCACAUUCAGUAUUUUCAAAAGUACAAUAUCUAAACAAGAGUUAGGAGGUUUUAGCUAAGAUCCCCUCCUCUAAGGUCACCCACUGCUUCUUAAAGACUUAGAAGGGCUGAUACAGGAAAUGCAGUUCUCUAAAGAAACAUGACUUGAAACGAGAAUCAAUGGGCUCAUUAAAAAUAAAGUAAAAAUCUUGAGCAAAAUAGAAGAACUGACCAGAGAACAGGAGGGAAAGCACAGUUUUUUAAAAAGUGAACGGUACAGAGUUUAAGCGUAGAAGUUUCUGGUUAUCAGGGAAUAACAUACAGAUUAUCAAGGGGUACGAAGUUCAGUUUAAGAUCGGAUGGCAUAAGGAAUACAUAAUCUGCAAUAUUCCCCCAUUGGGAGUAAAAGGUUAACGGGUCAAAGUAUAGACAUUGAGAUCUGAGGGUAUAUUGUUCAGAUGAUGGCUAUGCUCGGGUGUGGAGUGUAAUGAGUGGAUACAAUGAUGAGGAUGGAUUGACCUUCAUUUGGUGAGAUUUAACGUUCAGUAAGUUUAUAGUUCCAGUUCAUAUGGUCCAACGGAAAAAGUCUCUUGCUCCCUUUCUUGUAGUCGAUGCACAGUAUCACUCCGACUCAUGCCUCCUGGUACUGUCGGUGGCCGGUGAUGUGUUCAGUGUAGACGUCCCUGGACCAUCAGAUGGUGUCUGAGACCAUGAGGUGCCGCAUUACUACAAGACAACAGUGUUGCGUUGCAGACCUUACUCAAGCAAAUCUCUCCUUCAUCUCAGUUGUCAUUUUGUUGAUAAGGAUGAUGCUUGAUAAGGAUGGUCUUUUUAUUUUUUCAUACUGUAGGAGUAACUGAAUCUUAUGACAAAUUAGUCUUCCUACAAAUAUCAGACUACGGUAU
Non-coding RNA from Chrysemys picta bellii (western painted turtle), 3325 nucleotides. The record is from RefSeq and is a predicted model, not a curated record. NCBI's taxonomy places the organism in Eukaryota, Metazoa, Chordata, Testudines, Emydidae.